GCUCUGUACUCACAAGAUAACAUUACCACAGUCCUUGCACUAGAUUUUUAGAAGUUUUAGAAAUUGCAGUAGAAGGUUCCGGUCGACAUUAGCCCAACAAAAUGGAGGCGAAGUGCGCAGCUAUCUGGAGCUCUGUCGAUGGGAGGAGCGAGGAGUCUGAGAUGAUUGCUCACCUGCAGUCCAUGUUCUGGAGCAACAGUGAUGCUGCUGUCAACCUUUGCUCUCCAAGCACCAGUGCCAAUUCUUGUGUUGCAGCUAGCACAGUGCAUAGUAAUUUGUUCCUUCCUCUUGACAUGGAGAGCCAUAUCACAACCCCAAUGGUGAACACUGGCAUGGACCUAUGCUUUGAUCACCGGCAUCAGACCGUUACUGGUCACAAGAGGACAUCCCAUAUGGAUGAGCAGAUCAAGAGAACUAGCCAGAAAUCCCGGACUGUUCCCUCGGUAAGGCUACGAUAUUGUGAAUGCUAAGUUAUGCAUCCUCUCUUGAAAUAAAUCCUUUCACUGUUCUAACAUUCUGAUCGAUGCAAUUGUUUGCAGGUAUCAGAUGCUCUGUGUUUAAGCCUAGCUGAUAACGAGACCAAUGGUGACACUGUCAAUCAGAGCUCUUCGUCCUGCUGCAGCUCAGAAGAAGAUUCGAUUGCCGCAUCUGAGGAAUCCUUUGUUCCGAACCAGGGUGACAAUUCAAGAGGUUGCAGGCGGCCUUCGAAGAAUUUGCAGUCUCUUUAUGCAAAGGUUAGGACACGGUUAUGUUACUCUUGUUCUGAUCAUGGAAUACGAAUAUUUCUGUUCUCUGACGGUAUUUGUGAUGCUUCUUACAGAGGAGAAGAGAGAGGAUCAACGAGAAAUUGAGAGUACUGCAGCACCUGAUUCCCAAUGGAACCAAAGUUGACAUUAGCACAAUGUUGGAGGAAGCAGUCCAGUAUGUCAAGUUUCUGCAGCUGCAAAUAAAGGUCUUGAGCUCUGACGAGACAUGGAUGUACGCACCUCUCGCCUACAAUGGUAUGGACAUCAGCCUGAGUCUGAGAAUUACCGCAGCCCAAGAAUGAACUGGUCAUAAUCCGAAGCCUUGUUGCUGUCAAGUCAAAUUCAGUACAUGGUGCAUUUGUUCAAGAUCUUAACCCUGACUUUGAAUUGUUCAUUUGCUUCUUGUGACUUAGAGGAAGGUGUUGCCUUGCCAGAUACAGUAAGUAAAUAUUGUACGUAUCAAAUAAGUUGGAGCAUGCCAUAUGUAGCAAGGAAACAAUGUACUCCCUCCGUCCGAAAAUACUUGUCAACAAAAUGGACAAAAAGGGAUG
This is a long non-coding RNA of Triticum dicoccoides, 1297 nucleotides long. RefSeq lists it as uncharacterized. The record is from RefSeq and is a predicted model, not a curated record. The transcript is spliced from 3 exons. Lineage: Eukaryota; Viridiplantae; Streptophyta; Magnoliopsida; Poales; Poaceae.